Molecule: ribosomal RNA, 535 nt
Filed under: uncultured bacterium
Lineage: Bacteria
Description: bacterial SSU rRNA
Rfam family: Bacterial small subunit ribosomal RNA
Source: RNAcentral
GGAACUGAGACACGGUCCAAACUCCUACGGGAGGCAGCAGUGAGGAAUAUUGGUCAAUGGACGAGAGUCUGAACCAGCCAAGUAGCGUGCAGGAUGACGGCCCUAUGGGUUGUAAACUGCUUUUAUAAGGGAAUAAAGUGAGUCUCGUGAGACUUUUUGCAUGUACCUUAUGAAUAAGGACCGGCUAAUUCCGUGCCAGCAGCCGCGGUAAUACGGAAGGUCCGGGCGUUAUCCGGAUUUAUUGGGUUUAAAGGGAGCGUAGGCCGGAGAUUAAGCGUGUUGUAAAAUGUAGAUGCUCAACAUCUGAACUGCAGCGCGAACUGGUUCCCUUGAGUACGCACAAAGUGGGCGGAAUUCGUGGUGUAGCGGUGAAAUGCUUAGAUAUCACGAAGAACUCCGAUUGCGAAGGCAGCUCACUGGAGCGCAACUGACGCUGAAGCUCGAAAGUGCGGGUAUCGAACAGGAUUAGAUACCCUGGUAGUCCGCACGGUAAACGAUAGAGGCCCGCUGUUGGUCUGAAUAGGUCAAGCGGCCA